RNAcentral lists this ribosomal RNA (423 nucleotides) under uncultured bacterium. Its description in RNAcentral is "partial 16S ribosomal RNA". It matches the Rfam family "Bacterial small subunit ribosomal RNA", at positions 359 to 774 of the family's 1533-position model. The record is from RNAcentral.
GAAUUUUGGACAAUGGGCGAAAGCCUGAUCCCGCAACGCCGCGUGCAGGAUGAAGGCCUUCGGGUUGUAAACUGCUUUUGUACGGCACGAAAAGCCUUUGUUUAAUACCCUGGAGUCAUGCAGGUACCGUAAGAAUAAGCACGCGAUCAAUGCGUGCCAACCGCCGCGGUAAUACGUAGGGUGCAAGCGUUAAUCGGAAUUACUGGGCGUAAAGCGUGCGCAGGCGGUUUUGUAAGACAGAGGUGAAAUCCCCGGGCUCAACCUGGGAACUGCCUUUGUGACUGCAAGGCUAGAGUACGGCAGAGGGGGGUGGAAUUCCGCGUGUAGCAGUGAAAUGCGUAGAUAUGCGGAGGAACACCGAUGGCGAAGGCAACCCCCUGGGCCUGUACUGACGCUCAUGCACGAAAGCGUGGGGAGCAAACA